CAGCACCUCAAGUGGUCAGGAUGAUUAUUGGGCCUAAAGCAUCCGUAGCCGGCGCUGUAAGUUUUCGGUUAAAUCCGUACGCUCAACGUACAGGCUGCCGGGAAUACUGCAGCGCUAGGGAGUGGGAGAGGUAGACGGUACUCGGUAGGAAGGGGUAAAAUCCUUUGAUCUAUUGAUGACCACCUGUGGCGAAGGCGGUCUACCAGAACACGUCCGACGGUGAGGGAUGAAAGCUGGGGGAGCAAACCGGAUUAGAUACCCGAGUAGUC
This 269-nucleotide ribosomal RNA is filed under the name uncultured archaeon. RNAcentral's name for it is "partial 16S ribosomal RNA". It matches the Rfam family "Archaeal small subunit ribosomal RNA", at positions 477 to 746 of the family's 1478-position model. The record is from RNAcentral.